RNAcentral lists this ribosomal RNA (654 nucleotides) under uncultured archaeon. RNAcentral's name for it is "bacterial SSU rRNA". It matches the Rfam family "Archaeal small subunit ribosomal RNA", at positions 508 to 1160 of the family's 1478-position model. The record is from RNAcentral.
GCCUAAAGCGUCCGUAGCCUGCUCUGUAAGUUUCCGGUUAAAUCCAUUAGCUCAACUAAUGGCCUGCCGGAAAUACUGCAGAGCUAGGAAGUGGGAGAGGUAGACGGUACUCGGUAGGAAGGGGUAAAAUCCUUUGAUCUAUUGAUGACCACCUGUGGCGAAGGCGGUCUACCAGAACACGUUCGACGGUGAGGGAUGAAAGCUGGGGGAGCAAACCGGAUUAGAUACCCGGGUAGUCCCAGCUGUAAACUAUGCAAACUCAGUGAUGCAUUGGCUUGUGGCCAGUGCAGUGCCGCAGAGAAGUCGUUAAGUUUGCCGCCUGGGAAGUACGUACGCAAGUAUGAAACUUAAAGGAAUUGGCGGGGGAGCACCACAAGGGGUGAAGCCUGCGGUUCAAUUGGAGUCAACGCCAGAAAUCUUACCCGGAGAGACAGCAGGAUGAAGGUCAAGCUGAAGACUUUACCAGACAAGCUGAGAAGUGGUGCAUGGCCGUCGCCAGCUCGUGCCGUGAGGUGUCCUGUUAAGUCAGGUAACGAGCGAGAUCCUUGCCUCUAGUUGCCACCAUUACUCUCAGGAGUAGUGGGGCGAAUUAGCGGGACUGCCGUAGUUAAUACGGAGGAAGGAGAGGGCCACGGCAGGUCAGUAUGCCCCGAA